UACGGGGGGAGCAAGCGUUGUUCGGAUUUACUGGGCGUAAAGGGCGCGUAGGCGGCCAGCGCAAGUCAGUUGUGAAAUCUCCGGGCUUAACUCGGAACGGUCAACUGAUACUGCGCGGCUAGAGUGCAGAAGGGGCAACUGGAAUUCUCGGUGUAGCGGUGAAGUGCGUAGAUAUCGAGAGGAACACCUGCGGCGAAGGCGGGUUGCUGGGCCGACACUGACGCUGAUGCGCGAAAGCCAGGGGAGCAAACGGG
RNAcentral lists this ribosomal RNA (254 nucleotides) under uncultured bacterium. Its description in RNAcentral is "partial 16S ribosomal RNA". It matches the Rfam family "Bacterial small subunit ribosomal RNA", at positions 524 to 776 of the family's 1533-position model. The record is from RNAcentral.